CGAUGGCUAAUACCGCAUAGAAGCUACGGCUUAAAGAGGGGGACCUUCGGGCCUCUCGCGUCAGGAUAUGCCCAGGUGGGAUUAGCUAGUUGGUGGGGUAAAGGCUCACCAAGGCAACGAUCUCUAGCUUGUCUGAAAGGAUGAUCAGCCACACUGGAACUGAGACACGUCCAGACUCCUACGGGAGGCAGCAGUGGGGAAUAUUGCGCAAUGGGCGCAAGCCUGAUGCAGCCAUGCCGCGUGUAUGAAGAAGGCCUUCGGGUUGUAAAGUACUUUCAGUGGUGAGGAAGGUUAUGUAUUUAAUAGAUGCAUAGCUUGACGUUAGCCACAGAAGAAGCACCGGCUAACUCCGUGCCAGCAGCCGCGGUAAUACGGAGGGUGCGAGCGUUAAUCGGAAUUACUGGGCGUAAAGCGCAUGCAGGUGGUCUGUUAAGUCAGAUGUGAAAGCCCGGGGCUUAACCUCGGAAUAGCAUUUGAAACUGUCAGACUAGAGUACUGUAGAGGGGGGUAGAAUUUCAGGUGUAGCGGUGAAAUGCGUAGAGAUCUGAAGGAAUACCGGUGGCGAAGGCGGCCCCCUGGACAGAUACUGACACUCAGAUGCGAAAGCGUGGGGAGCAAACAGGAUUAGAUACCCUGGUAGUCCACGCCGUAAACGAUGUCUACUUGGAGGUUGUGGCCUUGAGCCGUGGCUUUCGGAGCUAACGCGUUAAGUAGACCGCCUGGGGAGUACGGUCGCAAGAUUAAAACUCAAAUGAAUUGACGGGGGCCCGCACAAGCGGUGGAGCAUGUGGUUUAACUCGAUGCAACGCGAAGAACCUUACCUACUCUUGACAUCUACAGAAGCUUGCGGAGACGCGAGUGUGCCUUCGGGAACUGUAAGACAGGUGCUGCAUGGCUGUCGUCAGCUCGUGUUGUGAAAUGUUGGGUUAAGUCCCGCAACGAGCGCAACCCUUAUCCUUGUUUGCCAGCACGUAAUGGUGGGAACUCCAGGGAGACUGCCGGUGAUAAACCGGAGGAAGGUGGGGACGACGUCAAGUCAUCAUGGCCCUUACGAGUAGGGCUACACACGUGCUACAAUGGCACAUACAGAGGGCAGCCAACUUGCAAAAGUGAGCGAAUCCCAAAAAGUGUGCCGUAGUCCGGAUCGGAGUCUGCAACUCGACUCCGUGAAGUCGGAAUCGCUAGUAAUCGUGGAUCAGAAUGCCACGGUGAAUACGUUCCCGGGCCUUGUACACACCGCCCGUCACACCAUGGGAGUGGGCUGCAAAAGAAGUAGGUAGUUUAACCUUCGGGGGGACGCUUACCACUUUGUGGUUCAUGACUGGGGUGAAGUCGUAACAAGAUA
Molecule: ribosomal RNA, 1345 nt
Filed under: metagenome
Description: bacterial SSU rRNA
Rfam family: Bacterial small subunit ribosomal RNA
Source: RNAcentral